Molecule: non-coding RNA, 1609 nt
Organism: Poecilia reticulata (guppy)
Lineage: Eukaryota; Metazoa; Chordata; Actinopteri; Cyprinodontiformes; Poeciliidae
Source: RefSeq, a predicted model, not a curated record
UAAUCUGUUGCUAAGAGACGAGUGUGUUUACUGGUAACCAAGUGCCACGAAGUGAACUUCAGAUUUUUACUUUUGCGAAAUUUGCCAACGGUAAAUAUCUUGUAUCUAAUCAGAUAAGCGUUAUUUCGAAAGAGCUUUUGUUUUAGAAACUACUUAUUAAUUUAGUCUUUAGUCUUGUUUAGCACACUGAAUGGAGGAAGUCAAUGUAAGACGACAUGCUAGUUAUAGCCCACAUGCCACUGGCUGCAUUUAGGCUAAUAUUACCAUUAUUUGAUCUUUAUAUUGCCUAAUGUUUUGUGAAACCAAGUAUAGGCUACAGAACAAAGACAGAAGUAUUUACAGAAAGAGAUGUUUAAGCAGAAUCAUUGCAAAGGCAGAAAUGAGAAAAAAAACACCAUUUAUCUUAAACUCCUAGAACUGGUUUUAAUUCUUGAGUUAAAGGAAUUCUAGUAAAAAACAGAAACACCCGCUUUAAAAGCAGACUUCAAAUGUUCCUCUCUGUGAGCACCCUAUGUAUCAUCUGACAUUCGGACAGGUUCAGAUCUGAUGUCACUUGCCUUGUUAAAUUUCCUGUUCCCAAGUUCUCUGACGAGGCCCAGAAAUUUGAUAACAAGUCAGAUUUCUAAGUUUUAAAAUGUUAUCAGAAAGGUGAGGCAGGUGGGAAGGAGCAAUGGGGGAGGAAAACCCCUCUGAAAACCCCUCUUCCAAACAGAUCACUUCCAAACAGUGAUCUGUUUGGAAGAACGGGAUGGCUCCAAACUUCAACCAGACUGGCCACGGAUACUGACUCAAGAAUGCAGCCACCAAAAGUCUCCUCCUCUCCAUGGAUGGCAUCAAGCUGUACGCCAAGAGCGAGCGAGACAUCGACUCACUGAUCCGCACCACCAGGAUCUGCAGCACUGACAUUGGGAUGUCAUUCGGACUAGAGAAGUGUGGCGGAUGAUUACAAAGAGAGGGAAGGUCAUCCACACAGAAGGGGUCUCACUCCCAGAAGGAACAAYAGCAGACAUUGAGGACAGUUACAAUUACCUGGGAAUACCACAAGCAAAUGGCAACCUCGAUGAGGUCACAAGGAAAGGAGCCACAGCCAAAUAAUACCUCCAACGAAUAAGGCAAGUCCUGAGAAGCCAGCUCAAUGGCAAGAACAACAUACGUGCGAUAAACAGCUAUGAGUUACCAGUAAUCAGAGACCCUGCAGGAAUAAUCAGCUGGCCAAAGGAGGAGAUGAAGACCACCGAUGUUAAGACACUCKGAAACUACUGACCAUGCAUGGAGGGCUCCACCCCAAAUCCAGCAUUCUGACUAAACACGAGUCAUAGGGAAGGAGCCAUAAUACUGGAUGGAUAAUAAAUGACUAAAACUAUAUGAUCACAUAAAAAGUUUAAAUAAGAUUCAUAAAUAUAUAUGUAUAGAAAACAAGAAAAAUGGCAAAACAAACCCUAAUUGAUUUCUAUUUGCUUUUUCUCUUUCCCUCUGUCUGAGCCUCGCGUGGUGCAUCUGACCUCUGACCUCAACUCCUCAAACCUGUCCUCCCAUGGACCAGAUGAUGUCCCUCCUACAAAACCAGCCGAUGAAAAUGAUCGAGAAGAUCUGGAGGAUCAAGAAGACA